AAUGCGGAUAAUAAUAUAGCCUUGCGAAGUUUGCCGUUUUUCAGUCAUUUUGUAUUACAAACGGGAAAUUGACAUACGAUUCGGGUGUUGGGACUGCAAUUUCCCGUUUGUAAUGCAAAAUGACUGAAAAACGGCAAACUUCGCAAGGCUAUAUUAUCCUCAUUUUACA
Paramuricea clavata is the source of this 169-nucleotide non-coding RNA. The record is from the annotation of a GenBank genome assembly. NCBI's taxonomy places the organism in Eukaryota, Metazoa, Cnidaria, Anthozoa, Malacalcyonacea, Plexauridae.